Long non-coding RNA from Apis florea (little honeybee), 1224 nucleotides. The record is from RefSeq and is a predicted model, not a curated record. Lineage: Eukaryota; Metazoa; Arthropoda; Insecta; Hymenoptera; Apidae.
UUAUUCAAACAAAAAUACAAACCAAGGAAAACCACAAAUAUGCAACAAUCUUAUAUCUAUACAUUAUAUCUCUACAUUAUAGAAAAUGAAAAUAUUUUUCAAAAAUCCAGAUGCCAUUACAAGAUCAAUAAAACGUGUAAUUCAAGACUUUCGCACAGUGCGGUACAGUAUCUAAACCGGUAAUACAUUCGCACCUUCCUUAAGACCUCGUUCGAAUCCUAAUUACAUUCCAAUUGCAACGCGCACUGUAAUUCAAACGAAACUACCAUGCAUAUCUUCCACAUCACGUAAGCACGAAUCAAUCCCACGCACCAGGGUGCGUAGCACCGGUAAUCGACAGUGGCCUUUAUUGAUUUUUCAUUUUCCAGCCAAUUCAAUUAUCUGGCAGAAGAGGACAAUUGGAUUAAUUCGGGCCCUUAAUUCCCUCGCUUCCAACAAUUGAGUUAGAUGGCUUGAUUCCAAGCGCUAUUUGUUUCGACCAUGAGGGCGUAUAUAUAAAAACCGUUACACACUGUCGGCCACUUACCGAUGACCAGGUCAUUGGAUUCAAGAAAAUGUAUAGGCUUGUAUUGUGCGUGUCUUACAAAUAAGUUUCGUGGGACAUUACAGAGACACGAGGACACAGGAUUUCUUGUGAAGCAUGCACGCAUUUGGUUUCGAUGAAUUGUAAUUGACUAUUACUAAAAUAUGAACGAUGCAAAGAAUUAAUAGAUAAUAAUAAUGAAAUGUAUUAUUGAAUCAAAUGAAAGAAUUCUUGCAUUUAUUUUUAUCUUAUUUUAUUUAUUUGAUUACUAGUUAAAGGUAAAGGCAUAGGACGUUCUCAUUUCACAAUGCUUCACAAUCAUCGAUGACUGAUUGAAACGCGAGAUAAACGGGAAAAAUUCGUACUUACUUGGAACAAGACUAUUCCCCUGACUCCUGAACCAGACUUCCUCGAUCAAGCGAAUAAAUUACACGGACCAUUACUCUACGAGUUUAUUUACCAACGAGAAUCCCAUAGAACAACAGGACGGAAGGCCAUUACAUGCUUCCUCCAAUUAGGAGAACCCUAGGCCGUCGAUCAAGUUACACAGCCAAGUUUUGAGGAUACAUUUUCAAAACAUUCGCAACGAUGGAUGAAUCCUGUACGAUUAAUCACCAUCAUUCUUUGAUUUUUGUGAAUUGCAACUCGUCCACAAAUGAUUUGGAUGUCGAUUUUUGUUCAAAUUGUGUGUAGAAUGAAGA